Rattus norvegicus (Norway rat) is the source of this 1045-nucleotide non-coding RNA. NCBI's taxonomy places the organism in Eukaryota, Metazoa, Chordata, Mammalia, Rodentia, Muridae. The record is from RefSeq and is a predicted model, not a curated record.
GCACUAAGUAGAAACUAUGAUUUGAGUAACUGCAGGAAGGUUUGCAUUGAACCUUCCAAUUAGCAAAAUAUAUUCCGCAACUCAAAGAUAGAUGUGAUAUUAUUUAAGCUUACUCUUAGUUACACACGCCUUUGAAUGGCCACCUUACAGGGUCACUAACGUGGGUAAUUAAAAUUCAGGGAAGACCAAAAUAUCCAGGAUAAGUCAUAUUCUAGUGAAUAAUCCAGCCAUAAUUGAAAGUGAGAGGAAAAAAAAUGAAGCCACAUUAGGUAGCCAGGAAUAAGUCUAGGAAAAGCAAAGAUACAAGUGUGUUUUCCCCAUGAACCGACAUUGAAGGUGACAAAAUGAAGGCAAGAGUCACUAAAUUAUCUCCUUAUAAUGAAGUACACGGUGACAUCUUUUUCUUUAGAAGAUCAACCUACAGGGGUUGGGGAUUUAGCUCAGCGGUAGAGCGCUGGGGUUCGGUCCCCAGCUCCGAAAAAAGGAAAAAAAUAGAUGAUCAACCUACGACUACCAGGAGUAAAUAUUGUGUAACUAGGAGUUCCUUUGUUUUAAAAGCAGACUGUUAAAAGGCUGGAACCAAAUGUGCAGGAAGGGCUAAGAGGGCUUGUGGAGCCCACCUGGAUUUCACCCCGAGUUACCUUGGAUCUGCGGACUCAGGAUGGUAGUUCCAGAGGAUGCCUUGAGCAGCCACAUAGAACUGCCUUAGCUGCGCGGCCUCUGCCUGGUGGCUGCCCCAGCCCGCCCAUCGGGUGCCCAGAACCACCAGGAGGAAGAAGCGCGGGCAGACUAGGAACAUGGCCCUUGUCCUGCCGCGCGCGCUGCCACGGCUGACAGUGCUCAGUGCUCUGUCCCUGCUGCGCGCUGUCCUGACUCCCUGGAGGACUAAGAAGCUGUUGGGCGCAUCAGGCGUGAUGGCACGUGCCUGUAAUCCCAGCGCACAAGGGAAGCAGGAGAAUGUGAGUUUGAGGGAGACCCUGGACCAAAAAGUAAUUAACUAGCAGAAGUGUGGAUACAUCACUACUUCAAAAAAAAGAGCCCACAG